RNAcentral lists this transfer RNA (61 nucleotides) under Actinomycetota bacterium. RNAcentral describes it as "Actinobacteria bacterium tRNA-Leu". Lineage: Bacteria; Bacillati; Actinomycetota. The record is from RNAcentral.
GGGUUGCGGGGGCCUUCCUUGACACGGAAGAGGUCGGAGGUUCAAAUCCUCCAGCGACCCA